GGGCGUUGUGGCGUGCGCCUGUAAUCCAGCUGCUUUGGAAGUCGGGGUUGGUGGAUCGCUUGAGAGCGGGAGUCCUGUAUGUCGUCGGUCUAUGGCGAUCGGGCGUCCGCGCUAAGCUCGGCAUCGAUAUGGUUACUUGGUCGGAGGAUCGGGCAACCAGGUCGUCUAAGGAGGGACGUACUGGCCCAGGGCGGAAACGCAGCAGGCAAAAGUCCCCGUGUGGAGCAGUAGUGGGAUAGCGCCUGUGAAUAGUCGGCGGCUUACAGCCCGUUCAACACAGGCAUCUUCUGAGGAUUUGUUCAUCAGAACUGAAUCGAUUUCAAGGGAAAUCUGCUGAAUAUCGUUGGAUAUUAACAUUAAUCUGGAAAUGUAUUCAUG
Molecule: signal recognition particle RNA, 378 nt
Filed under: Lytechinus variegatus (green sea urchin)
Lineage: Eukaryota; Metazoa; Echinodermata; Echinoidea; Temnopleuroida; Toxopneustidae
Description: uncharacterized LOC121425672, transcript variant X3
Rfam family: Metazoan signal recognition particle RNA (bases 1-287)
About the family: The signal recognition particle (SRP) is a universally conserved ribonucleoprotein. It is involved in the co-translational targeting of proteins to membranes.
Source: RNAcentral